Mycena galericulata is the source of this 96-nucleotide non-coding RNA. Lineage: Eukaryota; Fungi; Basidiomycota; Agaricomycetes; Agaricales; Mycenaceae. The record is from the annotation of a GenBank genome assembly.
GACUGUGUAGUAUAAUGGUAAUACACCAUGCUUAAUUAAACGAAAAGGAUGGCAUAACUUAUCAUGAGGAUCUCGGUUCGAAUCCGACCGCGGUUA